CGUCCUCUGCCCUGCGCGACGGCGUGCGCAAACAUACGCCUUGUCCCUUAAUGACGACCACGGGGAUGCAGCGGAAGCCGGGAGUGCAAGUCCGCCUCGCAGCGGGAAGCCCGAAGGCCUCCAGGCAUCCCCACUUGAACCCCGGGUUCAAGGUCGUUUGGCACGCAUCGCCAUGGCGGAGGAUGU
Molecule: non-coding RNA, 186 nt
Filed under: Cognatiluteimonas sedimenti
Lineage: Bacteria; Pseudomonadati; Pseudomonadota; Gammaproteobacteria; Lysobacterales; Lysobacteraceae
Description: Lysobacter sedimenti 6S RNA
Rfam family: 6S / SsrS RNA
About the family: E. coli 6S RNA was the first non coding RNA to be sequenced, but its function was unknown until recently. It consists of 184 nucleotides that fold into an extended hairpin structure with a large single-stranded internal bulge.
Source: RNAcentral